RNAcentral lists this ribosomal RNA (372 nucleotides) under uncultured organism. Its description in RNAcentral is "bacterial SSU rRNA". It matches the Rfam family "Bacterial small subunit ribosomal RNA", at positions 526 to 896 of the family's 1533-position model. The record is from RNAcentral.
CGGGGGGGGCAAGCGUUGUUCGGAAUUACUGGGCGUAAAGGGCUCGUAGGCGGCCGACUAAGUCGGACGUGAAAUCCCCAGGCUCAACCUGGGAACUGCGUCCGAUACUGGAUGGCUUGAAUCCGGGAGAGGGAUGCAGAAUUCCAGGUGUAGCGGUGAAAUGCGUAGAUAUCUGGAGGAAUACCGGUGGCGAAGGCGGCAUCCUGGACCGGCAUUGACGCUGAGGAGCGAAAGCCAGGGGAGCAAACGGGAUUAGAUACCCCGGUAGUCCUGGCCCUAAACGAUGAAUGCUUGGUGUAACGGGUAUCGAUCCCUGUUGUGCCGAAGCUAACGCAUUAAGCAUUCCGCCUGGGGAGUACGGUCGCAAGGCUG